CAUUUUUCAAUGAUCAUUUUCCAAUUAUCAUUGAAAAAUGACAGUGUAUACAGAAGAAAAUGUCAUUUUUUACACUCUCAUUUCCAAUGAUCCUUAAAAAUGAAAAGUUGAACAUGUUCAACUUUUAAUUUUUCAAUGACAUUUUUUUUCUAUUGUUUUAAAUCGAAUCCAUUGUUUUCGCACACGUGUUUGUUGCACGCGAUAUAGUUUUGGCGUAAACAUUUUUGAAAACAAAGAUUUGAACAAGUAAUUCACCCGAGAAUGAAGACGCAAGAAGCGAUCGAAAUUUUUUUUGAGAUUUGGAGAAGCCAGCCCAGUUUGUGGGAUGUUAAAUCCCCGUUUUAUAAGGACAGAAACGAGAAGCCAAAAAUUAUGAGAUAUUCAAAGGCAGACUAGGAAUGGAAGAGAAAUUAGUGAGGAGUAAAUUGAAUACACUAUUUCAGCGCAGAAUUGAAGAAAGUAAACAACAGCAACAAAUGUGGAGCAGGACGAGAUGAUGUUUACGAAAGUUAAUGGCCAUACUUUCAGUUCUUGCUAUUCCUACGUGAAUUCAUCGUCCCAAGAAAAACAACUUCUUCGAUGGUGGGUAUAAAUUUCAGACAAAUUUUUCUUGCCAUGGAACAGCACCGGGGGAGUUAAAGUACGCACAAAAUUUAUCCCCGAUAUCUUUCGCAUCAUUUCUGUAGUAGUUCAGAUGAGAUUACUCGCUGUAACCUCUUUCAGAACACCGCCUAUUCAAUCUCCGAUCCCAAGGAACUCUUCAACACAUGCCACACAAAAUUACCCACCCUUUGUGUCUCCGCCGUUAUCGCCUGUUUUACAGAAUAUGUACCGACACCCAGUGAACAUAUAUCAAAACACUUAUUAGAGUCGAGAAAGUUUGUCAGAUCUCAACCCAGAAGAGGGCUCACAAAGUGCAGGGUAUUAAUGUGUGACUGCUAGUUUAGUACGUUUGAAAAAUUACUGAACGAAAUAUAUAUUUACCUUGAGGUAGUUUUCUUUUAAUCGCAUGUAAAUAGCUUCGCAAACUUCAGCGAUGAACUGUGACAAAGUACUUUUGUGAACGCGAAAUAAAUACUGUAAUUCGGUGUAAUUUAUCCCACAUGAGAAAAACUUCAAAGUUGCAGCUACUUUGACUUUAGCAGGAAUUGGGUCUCGCAAAUGCGUUGUUUUUUUCUCAAUGUCAACUUCUAUGAGAUUUAGGAGCUCCUCAAAAAUAUUCGGCGGCAUUCUUAAAAAUCGCGUAUACUCUGCAAUUUCCUCUACACGCAGUUCAUACAUGACAGUAUUGUGGAUGCCAAGUUCAUUUCGCCUAUACGGCUUCACCCAUACAUUUCUUUGCAUUUUUUCCUAUGUUUAGCUCUCUUUUUUGAUAACAUAUGCACAACAAAAGCAGCUGCUAUUUCUUCUUCAGAGUCCAUGUUGCAAAGAAAACAUGCUCAAGUUUCAUGUUUUUAAUGAUAGUGUAUUUGCGCCAAAAUUUGUCAUUUUUAAUGUCAUUGGAAUGUAGCAUUGAAAAAUGAUCAUUGAAAAAUGAUAGUGUAUUUCAGCCUUAAUGCAAGAGUAUAUCCUCGAAUUAGUGAUUGUGGAAAGAAAGUGAAUAUCAUUCUGCUUUAUUUUCAUGGAACUAUCCGUCUCUGCCUGUCUUUGUAGAAGUUAAAAACCCAAAUAAUUAAGUAUUCUCUUAAAUAGUUAAGUAUGAUUAAGUAUUUUUUAGAAUCCAAAACCAUCAGGAGAUUACCUGCAGCUAAUCAAAUAAAGCAUUCUUAGUUUAAAUUUGAUUAAAGAUUGUGAAAUGAAAAUCGGAACCAUCAAGUGCAACAAUUUGAACUCACAACUAGCUCUUGAUCUUUUAAUAUUCACUAGAGACAUGGAGGAUGUCUGCUCUGUAAGUAAAUCUAUAUAUUGUACGGUUUAUUUGUGCAUAUGUAUACUUUUCGAUUUAGAAGUUGUUAAGAAGACAAAAAAAACACAACUAUGCAAAAAAUUCCGAAGAUAUUUCGCGAUUAUGAUGAUAAAACUUUGGUCAAAAACAAGAGGAAAGGAGCAACGUCAAUAUGCAACAAGUGCAUUUCUUGUAUCCAAUUAGAUAAUGCAUGUUAUGGUUACUAUGAGAAAUGACUUUUGGGAGAGACAACAGUGCAUGUCGUCAUAGUUUUAAUUGUUGAAAAUAAAGGAAAGCAGAUAUGAACUUUUUUAUUCUAUUACACGUCACAGCUACGUAUUUAUUUAUAUUUAAUGUAUCAGUAAAUCUUUUGACGACUUAAAAAUGAUUAAAUUCUAAAAAAUUCUAAAA
Molecule: long non-coding RNA, 2296 nt
Organism: Hydractinia symbiolongicarpus
Lineage: Eukaryota; Metazoa; Cnidaria; Hydrozoa; Anthoathecata; Hydractiniidae
Exons: 2
Source: RefSeq, a predicted model, not a curated record